UUAGAGUUUGAUCCUGGCUCAGGAUGAACGCUAGCGGCAGGCUUAACACAUGCAAGUCGAGGGGCAGCAGGGAGUAGCAAUACUCCGCUGGCGACCGGCGCACGGGUGCGUAACGCGUAUGCAACCUGCCUCGGACAGGGGGAUAACCCAGGGAAACUUGGACUAAUACCCCAUAUUCUUGCGGACUCACAUGUUUCUGCAAGGAAAGCUACGGCGGUCUGAGAUGGGCAUGCGUGACAUUAGGUAGUUGGCGGGGCAACGGCCCACCAAGCCGACGAUGUCUAGGGGAGCUGAGAGGCUUAUCCCCCACACUGGUACUGAGACACGGACCAGACUCCUACGGGAGGCAGCAGUGAGGAAUAUUGGUCAAUGGGCGUAAGCCUGAACCAGCCAAGUAGCGUGCAGGAUUACGGCCCUACGGGUUGUAAACUGCUUUUGCGCAGGGAUAAAAAAGCCCACGUGUGGGCUCUUGCAGGUACUGCGUGAAUAAGGACCGGCUAAUUCCGUGCCAGCAGCCGCGGUAAUACGGAAGGUCCGAGCGUUAUCCGGAUUUAUUGGGUUUAAAGGGUGCGCAUGCGGAGAUGCAAGCCAGCCGUAAAAAUCGUGGGGCUCAACCCAUUUAGCGGUUGGAACUUCAUCCCUUGAUUGCGGCAGAGGGAGGUGGAACUCGUGGUGUAGCGGUGAAAUGCAUAGAUAUCACGAAGAACUCCGAUUGCGAAGGCAGCCUCCUGGACCGUAAAUGACGCUCAUGCACGAAGGCGCGGGUAUCAAACAGGAUUAGAUACCCUGGUAGUCCGCGCAGUAAACUAUGAAUGCUCGCGGUUCGCCCUUCGGGCGUGCCGCCUAGCGAAAGCGUUAAGCAUUCCACCUGGGGAGUACGCCGGCAACGGUGAAACUCAAAGGAAUUGACGGGGGCCCGCACAAGCGGAGGAACAUGUGGUUUAAUUCGAUGAUACGCGAGGAACCUUACCCGGGCUUGAAAUGCGACUGACGGCAGAGAGAGACCUCUGCCUCCUUCGGGCAGUCGUGUAGGUGCUGCAUGGUUGUCGUCAGCUCGUGCCGUGAGGUGUCGGCUUAAGUGCCAUAACGAGCGCAACCCCUACCGCCGGUUACCAUCGGGUUAUGCCGGGGACUCCGGCGGCACUGCCAUCGCAAGAUGCGAGGAAGGCGGGGAUGACGUCAAAUCAGCACGGCCCUUACGUCCGGGGCCACACACGUGUUACAAUGGGGGGCACAGCGAGCAGGUGCAUGGCGACAUGCAUCGAAUCAUGAAAUCCCCUCCCAGUUCGGACUGGAGUCUGCAACCCGACUCCACGAAGCUGGAUUCGCUAGUAAUCGCGCAUCAGCCAUGGCGCGGUGAAUACGUUCCCGGGCCUUGUACACACCGCCGGUCA
This 1394-nucleotide ribosomal RNA is filed under the name uncultured bacterium. RNAcentral's name for it is "16S ribosomal RNA". It matches the Rfam family "Bacterial small subunit ribosomal RNA". The record is from RNAcentral.